CUACGGGCCGCACCAGUGAGGAAUAUUGCACAAUGGGGGAAACCCUGAUGCAGCAACGCCGCGUGGAGGAUGACGCAUUUCGGUGUGUAAACUCCUUUUAUCAGAGAAGAAAAUGACGGUAUCUGAUGAAUAAGCUCCGGCUAACUCCGUGCCAGCAGCCGCGGUAAUACGGAGGGAGCAAGCGUUAUUCGGAAUCACUGGGCGUAAAGGACGCGUAGGCGGGUUUUUAAGUCAGGUGUGAAAUCCUAUGGCUCAACCAUAGAACUGCACUUGAAACUGGGGACCUAGAGUAUGGAAGGGGCAGGUGGAAUUAGUGGUGUAGGGGUAAAGUCCGUAGAUAUCACUAGGAAUACCGAAAGCGAAGGCGACCUGCUGGGACAUUACUGACGCUGAGGCGUGAAAGCGUGGGGAGCAAACAGGAUUAGAUACCCGAGUAGUC
RNAcentral lists this ribosomal RNA (439 nucleotides) under uncultured bacterium. RNAcentral describes it as "partial 16S ribosomal RNA". It matches the Rfam family "Bacterial small subunit ribosomal RNA", at positions 339 to 795 of the family's 1533-position model. The record is from RNAcentral.